Long non-coding RNA from Equus asinus (donkey), 4579 nucleotides. The record is from Ensembl. NCBI's taxonomy places the organism in Eukaryota, Metazoa, Chordata, Mammalia, Perissodactyla, Equidae.
GCAUGACACUAAGAAAAUCUGAUGUGGUUAGCUCCGGGCAGUCACCACUUCUUUAUAUGUGGAUUAUCCCCCAACGAACGUCCGGCAUCUGCGGUCAUCCGGGAAUGCGUCCAGGCAAUGAUCUAGCGCUCAGAAGGAACAAGAGCUAAUUUCAACGCCUCUGGGGUGCUGGUGCAUGCUAGACUCUCCACUCACCCACACUCGGAUGAACUAGACAGACGCAAGAUUAUUCCAAGAUGACUGAGAAGUUCACUCUGAAGUACAAAAGGUUGGAUGGACACAUGCCGCCAAUAUUCCACAGGAAUGAAGAGGAAUAUUUGCCAAGGUCGCUUUCAGAUGCCCAUCGUGGCAGAACAAGGGAGUCUCUACCACCUGGACUGAAGACUGACUUGGAUCUCGGGGCCAACAGAACUUUGUUCCAAGUUCCAAGGCCAUCGUUGGAAUCAGUGGGUCAUCAACAGCGCACUAGAGGGCACUGAGCUAAAGGUGGUGGCAGAUGCAUGGCAUGUGCGUGCUGGAGGGUAGGAGUGUGGGUGGAGGAACUGAUGGUGGAACCUGCAUGAAUUAUUCUGGGCAAGUCUGCUCAGUCUUCAAAUGAUGGAGGUGGGUCACAGCCAGUCUGCUCGUGAUCCCUCAUGGCAGAAGGUGGCCUGGUACCCACAGGAGGCUAGGGGACAGAGCUCAGCAGCCCCUUCCAGUUUUAUUUUUUGAAUUCUUGUGGAAUUUGCAUUUCACACCCUAACAAAGGGUGUGCCUGCCUUGGGGAUUCAUGAAAACUUGACAAGAAAUCAGCAUUGUCCCCAUCAAACCUAGGCCCCACUUUUCCAAGCUCUCAUUUCCAGGUUUCCUCUUCCGUGGCUUUGCGUGAUUUCAUAUUUAUCUCGUAAGGAAUCAGUCAGUGUGGCCACUAACUCCCUUCAAACUCAGUACAAACCAGUUCCUCUCCUGCACAGGUCCCUGCACAUAUGGAAGCGCACAGGGGCACGGUUUGGGUAAGUUGCAUGCAUUUUGGUUGGGGUUUUUUCUGCAGUCAAUGGUCUGCCCUCACCCUGUGCAAUGCGGCAGGAAUGUGAGGCCUGAGAGGCAAGGAGGGCAGAGCUGCUGGGGAGGGAGCGGCUUCACAGCCGGCAGGGAGGUGAGGGCCACACAAGUAACAGCAGGUUUCCUCUGCCUUUGCUGCCCAUUCAUGCUCCAAGAGGAAGAAAAGAAACAAGGGAAAACUUUCAUUCGCCCUCAGAUUAUUUUAUUCCAACUUGGAGAGAGAAGGCCUGGAUUUGAGCCCUGUUUCUGCCACUUCUGAGUUGUUUGAACUUGAUAAUGAGCUGAUCUGUUACCGCAGCUGUGAAGGGAGCUCCAGUAAUGUCUUUCCUGUCUCAUUCACAGGAUUAUUGGGAGAAUGCAUGAGUCAAUGGCUACGGAAAAUGCUGCACACCUACUCUGUGAAGAGGGAAGCGCCAAGAACAACUGCCACUUUCAUUUGGGGUCAGGAUUCUUGAUUCCUGCUGUCUGUUGACGUCUAUAAUCUUGGUGUUAUGCUUACAAGGGAGAGCCUCAAGCAGUAUUAAGUAUAUUAUUUUAAGAAUGAUGUGGCUUCUGGCAUCAUAUUUUGAAAAUCAAAGAUUGUAAUUUUAGGGAUAAUGGAAUACUCAAAAGGGAGUAUUCUGUAAAACUGAGGGCGUAUGGUCAGCAGAGAGAUAUUCUUUACAAAUACUGGACUACGAAUUAGGAGACGACCUCAAGUCCCUCCUCCGUCAGUGAUCUUGAGCCAUUGUGGCAACACAUUCUGGGCCUUGUUCCCCCCCCAUCUGUAAAAUGGGGGUGUUUGACUCAUUGUUUCUUAACUGGGGUGAAUUCUGGAGUCACCUGGGAAGAUCCCCAAAGGCAGAAUUCUGGUUUUGUUUCUUGUUGUGUUUCUAAGGCAUAGAAAAGUACUUGGCACAGGGUAAAUACUCAAUAAAUAUUUUUUUAAUGAAGAAAUAAAACUUUUAAAAAAUUCACAGAGCAGGAUCCAGUCCAGAAUGCUCACAUCGUAUGGGCUAGAAACUGUACAUACAUUUUGUAAAAGCCCUCUGGAUCAUUUUGCCAAGCACUCUGGGCUUAAGAACCACUAAACCCAACAAUCCCCAAGGUUCCUUCCCUGAAGAAUUGUCAGAUUUAGCAAAGAAAAAUGUAAGACAUCCAGUUAAAUUUGAAUUUCAGAUAAACAAUGAAAAUGUUUUAGUGUAAAUAUGUACCAUGCUCUAUUUGGUUGUCGCAAAACUUGUAGAAAGAUGACUAGGUAAGGCUUCUGCUUAGGCUGAUGGUUAGAGGCAGAGGGUGGCACCUUGAAACUGGCCCAGAUUUGGGAAUCAGACAGAUAAUCUUGGUCUGAGUCUCUGCCCUGAUUGUGUGAUCUGAACAAAUUGCUCAACUUCACUGGGCUUCGUAACUCGAGUGUCUAUCCUGUAGAGCUGCUGAAAGUAUUGGAGAUAUUACAGGAAUGAUGGUAGCAGGUAUCUGAUAACGUUUAGCUGUUUUUACUGUUGGUUUGAAGAAAGAAACUCAGUAUCAAUGAGACCUUUGUUGAAACACUGUCAACUAGCAAACUGGCAUUCUGAAAUGACCAAGAUUAUAGAUAAUAGUUCUGGGCAGACCUGGGCAAAGUUAGAGGGAACGCUGAUCUUCUUUAGAACAAUACCUCUAUGUGUGGGGGAACAAAACAUACUAAAAAUUAAUAGAUUAUCCAGAAUAAAUAAAGGAAGGAAGUUCUUUCGUUUCAUUCAUUAUAAAAUGUCAUUUGCUCAACUGACUUUUUCUAAUGUCAAAGGUAAACAUUUGUUCAGGUUUUACAGGGUCACUAUACAGAGGGAUAGACUAUUAUUUGGGCAGUGGAAGUACUUCAAUCCUAACCUUGUUUCCCUCUCUUCUAGGUUAAAGACACAGUCUGUUUCUAGAGCUUCUGUUGUUUCUAGAAAUUUCUAACGCAUUUCUUCUGUUUAAAAAAUACACAUGCAACAAAUAUGAAAUAUUCAUUAAAAGGAAACGGUUCUCUCUAGAAAAAUCUAUUUGGACAAAAAUCUUUAGAUAAUUUCAUUAUCAAAUGUGAAGAGCUACGGGUGGAAAAUAAAUUGACCAUUACAUUUUCAACUGAGCUACUCGGAUAUCAACUGCAUACUUUAAGCCCCCUGUUGUUAUUUUGUUGUCUAUCCACCACAUAUUUAUUGUUGAGCCUGUAUUAUAUACUGGAGACUGUUCUAAGUGCUUGGGAUCCUUAGUGAACAAAACAGACCCAAAUCCUUGCCUCUGUGGAGCUUGUCUUCUGGGAUAGAGAGAGAAACAGAAGCAUCCUAGAUAAGUGAGUUAAGUAGGAUACAGAUGGCGCAAUCUGUUGGUGAUGGAAGGAGCCAUGCUGAUCUGGGGGAUGAGAACAGGGGCGUCAAGCACAAAUGACCUAAGGCAGGAGCCUGCCUGGAGUGUUCCAAGAAUAGCAAGGAGGCCAAUGUGGCUGCAGUGGAGAGAGGACAGAGGGAGUAGGAGGAGAGAAGACCAAGUAACUAUUAUCCUAAUCAUGAUAAAGGACUCCACGAAUCUAACUUCCAGUUUUGAGUUUUAGUUUACUUACUCUGUGACUACAGGGAGAUCCUGAACUGCUUACCUGGAAUGGUGGUCCUUAACUUGUAAAACAUGGGUAGGUUAGAGAUUUACUUCACAAAACUAUGACUAGAGGGAAUCAGUAUAUAGCUUAGUGAUGAUGUAUGUGCUUUAAUGGAUGGAUCUGAGUUCACAGUCUGACUUCCUUACUUGCUAGAGGUGUGCCCUUGGGCAAGUUCCUUCAACUCUCUGUGCUUCAAGUUCCAUCUCUAUGAAAUAAGGCAACUAAAAGUACCCCCUUUCAAACUGUGAGGGUUAGAGGAGAGGGUCUGUGUAAAAUGCUUAGCACAGAGCUUGGCACAUAGAAAGUACUAAAUAAAUAUCAUCAUUAUUUCUUGAAAAGUAUAAUUAGGAGGAUUAGGUACUCUGAAAUAUCUAUUUAAUAUUUAAUAUCAAAACAUGUUUUCAGUAAAAAUGUCUUAUUAUUGUUAUUACUAGUGGUAGCGAGCCUCCAAGAUGAUCCCCAAUGAUCCCUGUCUCUGAGUAUUCACACCCUUGUAUAGUCCCCUCCCACAUUGUACCAGGAUUGGUCUAUGUGACCAUAGAAUAUGGCAGAAGUGAUGGUAUGUCACUUUUGAGAUUAAGUUAUAAAAGACAUUGUGGCUACCAUCUUAGUCAUUCAUUCUCUCUCUCAAUCAUCACUUGUUCUGGGGGAAGCCAGCUGCCAUGUCAUGAGCAGCCCUAGGGAGAGGUAUCCCUUAUGGAGAAGUCCACGUGACAAAGAACUGAGGCUUUUUGCCAACACCAUGUGCGUUAGGGCCUUCUUGGAAGUGAACCCACUAGCCUUGGUCAAGUCUUCAGAUGAAAGCAGCCCUCACUGACGUCUCGACUGCCGCUUCAUGAGACCCUGAGGCAGAACUAUGCAGCUAAGCAGAUCCCAGAUUCCUGCCCCUCAGAAACUGAGAUGAUAAAUGUUUGUUGUCUCAAACUUCUAAGUUUUGGGGUAAUU